Molecule: ribosomal RNA, 475 nt
Filed under: Camptotheca acuminata
Lineage: Eukaryota; Viridiplantae; Streptophyta; Magnoliopsida; Cornales; Nyssaceae
Description: eukaryotic LSU rRNA
Rfam family: Eukaryotic large subunit ribosomal RNA (bases 335-475)
Source: RNAcentral
UGCAGAAUCCCGUGAACCAUCGAGUCUUUGAACGCAAGUUGCGCCCGAAGCCAUUAGGCCAAGGGCACGUCUGCCUGGGCGUCACGCAUCGCGUCGCCCCCCAAACCCCGCUCCCGGCAUCGGGGCGUGGCUGUUUUGGGGGCGGAUAUUGGCCUCCCGUGGGCGACAUAGAGAACGCGGCUGGCCGAAACAAGAGUCCCCCGAAGUGGCGGGCGUCACGACAAGUGGUGGUUGAACGGCCCCUGGCCACGGAAUUGUCCUGUCGUGCGUACGUCCAUCCGGCGGAGAGCUCCCGGUGACCCCUCACGUGCCGUCCCCGACGGUGCUCCGACCGCGACCCCAGGUCAGGCGGGACUACCCGCUGAGUUUAAGCAUAUCAAUAAGCGGAGGAGAAGAAACUUACAAGGAUUCCCCUAGUAACGGCGAGCGAACCGGGAACAGCCCAGCUUGAAAAUCGGGCGGCCGCGCCGCACGA